This 487-nucleotide ribosomal RNA is filed under the name Geodermatophilus africanus. RNAcentral describes it as "bacterial SSU rRNA". It matches the Rfam family "Bacterial small subunit ribosomal RNA", at positions 189 to 689 of the family's 1533-position model. The record is from RNAcentral. Lineage: Bacteria; Bacillati; Actinomycetota; Actinomycetes; Geodermatophilales; Geodermatophilaceae.
UGGUCUGGUGGUGGAAAGGGUUUCCGGCUGGGGAUGGGCCCGCGGCCUAUCAGCUUGUUGGUGGGGUAGUGGCCUACCAAGGCCACGACAGGUAGCCGGCCUGAGAGGGUGACCGGCCACACUGGGACUGAGACACGGCCCAGACUCCUACGGGAGGCAGCAGUGGGGAAUAUUGCGCAAUGGGCGGAAGCCUGACGCAGCGACGCCGCGUGGGGGAUGACGGCCUUCGGGUUGUAAACCUCUUUCAGCAGGGACGAAGCCGCGAGGUGACGGUACCUGCAGAAGAAGCACCGGCCAACUACGUGCCAGCAGCCGCGGUAAUACGUAGGGUGCAAGCGUUGUCCGGAAUUAUUGGGCGUAAAGAGCUCGUAGGCGGUUGGUCGCGUCGGCUGUGAAAUCCCGGAGCUCAACUCCGGGUCUGCAGUCGAUACGGGCCGACUUGAGUGUUGCAGGGGAGACUGGAAUUCCUGGUGUAGCGGUGAAAUGC